CCUACGGGCGGCAGCAGUGGGGGAUAUUGCACAAUGGGGGAAACCCUGAUGCAGCGACGCCGCGUGUGGGAAGACGGUCCUCUGGAUUGUAAACCACUGUCCCCAGGGACGAAGAUGACGGUACCUGGGGAGGAAGCUCCGGCUAACUACGUGCCAGCAGCCGCGGUAAUACGUAGGGAGCGAGCGUUGUCCGGAAUUACUGGGUGUAAGGGGAGCGUAGGCGGGACUGCAAGUUGGGUGUCAAAUCUACCGGCUCAACCGGUAGCCGCACUCAAAACUGCAGUUCUUGAGUGAAGUAGAGGCAGGCGGAAGUCCUAGUGUAGCGGUGAAAUGCGUAGAUAUUAGGAGGAACACCAGUGGCGAAGGCGGCCUGCUGGGCUUUUACUGACGCUGAGGCUCGAAAGUGUGGGGAGCAAACAGGAUUAGAUACCCUGGUAGUC
RNAcentral lists this ribosomal RNA (440 nucleotides) under uncultured bacterium. Its description in RNAcentral is "partial 16S ribosomal RNA". It matches the Rfam family "Bacterial small subunit ribosomal RNA", at positions 338 to 795 of the family's 1533-position model. The record is from RNAcentral.